This is a small nuclear RNA of Gorilla gorilla gorilla (western lowland gorilla), 104 nucleotides long. NCBI's taxonomy places the organism in Eukaryota, Metazoa, Chordata, Mammalia, Primates, Hominidae. The record is from Ensembl.
UUGCUUGCUUUGUUAGCACAUACACUAAAAUUGGAAUGCUGCAGAGAUUACAAUGGCCUCUGUGCAACGAUGCCACACAAAUUUGUGAAACAUUCCAUAUUUUU